AUACGUAGGUGGCAAGCGUUAUCCGGAUUUACUGGGUGUAAAGGGCGUGUAGGCGGGCUGGCAAGUCGGGUGUGAAAUUUCCAGGCUUAACUUGGAGAGGUCAUCCGAAACUGCUGGUCUUGAGUACUGGAGAGGAUAGUAGAAUUUCUGGUGGAGCGGUAAAAUGCGUAGAUAUCAGGAGGAACACCAGUGGCGAAGGCGGCUAUCUGGACAGUAACUGACGCUGAGGCGCGAAAGCGUGGGUAGCGAACAGGAUUAGAUACCCUGGUAGUCCACGCCGUAAACGCUGAUUACUAGGUGUAGGGGGUAUAGACUCCCUCUGUGCCGCAGUUAACGCAUUAAGUAAUCCACCUGGGGAGUACGGCCGCAAGGUUAAA
Molecule: ribosomal RNA, 377 nt
Filed under: uncultured bacterium
Lineage: Bacteria
Description: bacterial SSU rRNA
Rfam family: Bacterial small subunit ribosomal RNA
Source: RNAcentral